This 239-nucleotide ribosomal RNA is filed under the name Citrobacter europaeus. RNAcentral's name for it is "partial 16S ribosomal RNA". It matches the Rfam family "Bacterial small subunit ribosomal RNA", at positions 211 to 449 of the family's 1533-position model. The record is from RNAcentral. Lineage: Bacteria; Pseudomonadati; Pseudomonadota; Gammaproteobacteria; Enterobacterales; Enterobacteriaceae.
CCUCUUGCCAUCGGAUGUGCCCAGAUGGGAUUAGCUAGUAGGUGGGGUAACGGCUCACCUAGGCGACGAUCCCUAGCUGGUCUGAGAGGAUGACCAGCCACACUGGAACUGAGACACGGUCCAGACUCCUACGGGAGGCAGCAGUGGGGAAUAUUGCACAAUGGGCGCAAGCCUGAUGCAGCCAUGCCGCGUGUAUGAAGAAGGCCUUCGGGUUGUAAAGUACUUUCAGCGAGGAGGAA